RNAcentral lists this ribosomal RNA (395 nucleotides) under uncultured bacterium. Its description in RNAcentral is "bacterial SSU rRNA". It matches the Rfam family "Bacterial small subunit ribosomal RNA", at positions 358 to 770 of the family's 1533-position model. The record is from RNAcentral.
GGAAUAUUGCACAAUGGGGGAAACCCUGAUGCAGCAACGCCGCGUGAGUGAUGAAGGCCUUCGGGUUGUAAAGCUCUGUCUUCAGGGACGAUAAUGACGGUACCUGAGGAGGAAGCCACGGCUAACUACGUGCCAGCAGCCGCGGUAAUACGUAGGUGGCAAGCGUUGUCCGGAUUUACUGGGCGUAAAGGGAGCGUAGGCGGAUACUUAAGUGGGAUGUGAAAUACCUGGGCUUAACUUGGGUGCUGCAUUCCAAACUGGGUGUCUAGAGUGUUGGAGAGGAAAGUGGAAUUCCUAGUGUAGCGGUGAAAUGCGUAGAGAUUAGGAAGAACACCAGUGGCGAAGGCGACUUUCUGGACAAUAACUGACGCUGAGGCUCGAAAGCGUGGGGAGCA